CACAACAACAACGCGCACACACACGCGCACGCAUGCACAAGGACGCGCUUUUUUUGGGGGGGGGGCGACAGUGGUUGCCGUCACGGAUUGCAGCAGCAGCAAGACUUGCGCAUCGAGACUCCCUAGUUUUCUAGCGACUCCCCCCUGAAAGCUGCUUGUGCUCCUUCCCUCUCUCUAAUUACGAGCGUGCGAAGUGGCUGUGCGGCUCUGAGCGGAUUUACGGGACCGCGGAGUUUGGAUAGGGGGUUAGGGUAGGUGGAACCGCUGCAGCAGGCGAGGCCUUGCAUCUCUCUGUUCUCCUUAUCCGCUUUUUUCUUUCCUCUCACGCAUGGCGGGUGUGCGGUGACGUCGUUGAUGGUGUCUUUGGCCGCUGACGAGUUGAAGAUACACUCACACGCAUACGCGAGUGCGAGAGAGAAGCAGGGGAAGCAGAGAGGACGACAGUGCUGUUUCUGUUUGUGCCAUGGCGGCUUUUCUCCCUUCCUUUCCCCAUCCCCUAAGUCACACACACACACACACACACACAUGCGUGCGAAUCCAAUGAAUGCUCGCUCUCACUGUUACCGCUUCCUCAAUGCUCUUCUUCCUUACCUCUCCGUUGCUCCCUUCCCCUUCGCUCAUAAAUCCACGUUACGGCUUUACCAAUCACACGGCACCACAAACCUAUCAAAACUUCCAG
This 679-nucleotide unclassified non-coding RNA is filed under the name Leishmania donovani. Its description in RNAcentral is "gene:unknown". The record is from RNAcentral. Lineage: Eukaryota; Euglenozoa; Kinetoplastea; Trypanosomatida; Trypanosomatidae.